CCAAAAUCUGUCUAGCCCAGCAACCAAUUGGCCCCAGCCCAAAAUAAAACUGACCAACAUGACAUAUCCCUAAAUCCCCUCUUCUUCACGUUGAAACUUAACCAAAACCAAGCUUCCAUCAAUCACGGCAAAUCCGUCGAAUUUCUUGGCUUUUGCAGAUCAAACAGCCACAAUGGUCUUCUCCAUCACUUCAAAGCUCAGAGAUAUGAAGACUUUUGCUCUUCUUCUCCCUUUCUUUUCAUUUUUGAAUUUCGAAUUUUUAGCUUCUUGAUGAAUCUGUUGGGGCUACGUUUUUGCCUAUAAAUACAGCCCCUAUUCAUUCACGGGAAGGGGUGGAGUAUGAGAAAUUAAGGAAUUUUGAGUCCUAGACUUAUUUCACUUCUUAAGUUUUCUGGCUUUAUUUUGUGGUUUUUGAUUACCGAUCCUCCCGACUCCGUUGCUUUUUAUCGCUCAUAUUCGAAGUUGGUGGGAAAAUGAUUCAUUAACUGGUAGUUUAGGUUCACUGCCCGGAACAAGCUCGAGUUGAAUCUCCGACGAGAAAUUUCUAGUUUGCUACCCCACACAUUGGUGCGAGUUUUCGAUAAUCGAUUGAAUCUUCUUUUCUUUUUCUCCAAGGCUAAAAGCUGACUUUUGUUUUAAAUUUUGUUUAAACUGAUGACGAGUUUAUGUCAUAUUUUUAGGAAUUCGUUCAAAAUUAUUACUGUAGUAAAUAACAAUGUGGGAUAUAGUUCAUUUUAUUGAUUUUUUACAACUUGAGUUGGUUUGCUGGAUGCACAUACUUACAAAAUUUCCUUAUGAUAGUCUUUAAAAAGAAAACUAGAGCAGGAGUAAGUUUUUGCGAGUGUGUGAAUCGUCCCUAAUAUAGCAAUAUGUUCUUGUUUCUAAAAAUGAUUAUGCGUACGGGCUAUAAUUUAUGUUUUACGCUAUUUUUUGUUUCAUGUUUCAUGUUUCAUUUAUUUAUCGAAAUUUGAAUUGUAUUCUAAUUUAUUAUCUUUUCUUUAUUCUACAUGUACAUUCGGAAGCGCGUUUGGGGUCCCACGACUUGACUCCAACUCUGUCCAAAUCAGAGAAACAACAAUAGACUGUUACGUGUUUCAUCUAGCAGUCUAGUGCCUCUUUGUUAGCUUAUCUCUUUCUUUGUAGAUACUUAUUAUAACUAUCAUUUAACAUUUUACACGUUACUAUUUAAAAUUUGUGUUUUAUAUGUUUUUUAUUUGAAUUAGUGUGAUUUCUUAAAUGUGUUGGCGAAGUUAAUUGUUCUCUUUUUGCUCAUUAGAUGUUAAAUUUAGUAUAAUUGUCAGGCUUAGGCGCUUAAUCAAUGUCGUUAAGAUUAAAAUUUGGUAGGUUGAAACAUAUCUUCUAGAAUAAAUGAUCGAUUUUGUUAGAAAACUCUAAUGCUUCUUUGAUAUGAAUUAUAGUAGCCUAUCUUUAGAAUUAAAAUUAGUUUCUCAUUAGUUAUUAUUGUCGAAUUAAUAAAAUAUAGGUUUUGAGAUAGGCAAAUUUAUCAUUGCUAGACGUGAAAAUUGGUUUUAAUUAUUUUAAUAUGGUAAAUCAAUUCUGUGGUCAUCACUCUAAAAUAAAAUUGCAACUUUGAUGAUUUAAUUUCGCAAGGUCUUUUUUAGGAUUUCAAAUAACA
This 1636-nucleotide long non-coding RNA is filed under the name Capsicum annuum. RNAcentral describes it as "long non-coding RNA (CANN_LNC022106)". The record is from RNAcentral. Lineage: Eukaryota; Viridiplantae; Streptophyta; Magnoliopsida; Solanales; Solanaceae.